RNAcentral lists this ribosomal RNA (253 nucleotides) under uncultured bacterium. RNAcentral describes it as "partial 16S ribosomal RNA". It matches the Rfam family "Bacterial small subunit ribosomal RNA", at positions 524 to 776 of the family's 1533-position model. The record is from RNAcentral.
UACGUAGGGGGCGAGCGUUGUCCGGAAUUAUUGGGCGUAAAGAGCGUGUAGGCGGUUCGGUAAGUCUGCCGUGAAAUCCUGGGGCUCAACCCCGGGCGUGCGGUGGAUACUGCCGGGCUAGAGGGUGGUAGAGGCGAGUGGAAUUCCAGGUGUAGCGGCGAAAUGCGUAGAUAUCUGGAGGAACACCGGUGGCGAAGGCGGCAUCCUGGACCGACACUGACGCUGAGGCGCGAAAGCCAGGGGAGCAAACGGG